RNAcentral lists this ribosomal RNA (426 nucleotides) under uncultured rumen bacterium. RNAcentral's name for it is "bacterial SSU rRNA". It matches the Rfam family "Bacterial small subunit ribosomal RNA", at positions 354 to 776 of the family's 1533-position model. The record is from RNAcentral.
GUGAGGAAUAUUGGGCAAUGGGGGGAACCCUGACCCAGCCAUGCCGCGUGAGGGAUGUAGGCCCUACGGGUCGUGAACCUCUUUUGUUCGGGGACAAGGACGCCCACGCGAUGGGUGUUUGCGGGUACCGGACGAAUAAGCAUCGGCUAACUCCGUGCCAGCAGCCGCGGUAAUACGGAGGAUGCGAGCGUUAUCCGGAUUCAUUGGGUUUAAAGGGUGCGCAGGCGGCCCGGUAAGUCAGCGGUGAAAGUCAGGGGCCCAACCCCGGAAGUGCCGUUGAUACUGUCGGGCUGGAAUGCGGUCGAGGCGGGCGGAAUGUGGUGUGUAGCGGUGAAAUGCAUAGAUAUGCCACAGAACGCCGAUAGCGAAGGCAGCUCGCCAGGCCUGCAUUGACGCUCGGGCACGAAAGCGUGGGGAUCAAACAGG